GGCUUUAUAGUCAAUAAUGAUAUUAGACUGCAAUUCUAAAGGAGUAGAAACUACUAGAGCUU
This 62-nucleotide transfer RNA is filed under the name Scopura montana. Its description in RNAcentral is "tRNA-Cys". Lineage: Eukaryota; Metazoa; Arthropoda; Insecta; Plecoptera; Scopuridae. The record is from RNAcentral.